GGUGAAUGCUGGCGGCGUGGAUGAGGCAUGCAAGUCGAAUGGGUUUAGACCCAUGGCAGACGAGGUAGGAACACGUAGGUACAUACCCCAAAGUCACGGAUAACCUGGAGAAAUCCAGAAUAAUACGUGAUAGUCACUUCGGUGUAAAGAUUUAUCGCUUUGGGAAUGGCCUGCGUUCUAUCAGCUUGUUGGUAAGGUAACGGCUUACCAAGGCUACGACGGAUAGGGGAGGUGAGAGCCUGGCCCCCACCGAUGGAACUGCGACACGGUCCUU
This 274-nucleotide ribosomal RNA is filed under the name uncultured bacterium. RNAcentral describes it as "partial 16S ribosomal RNA". It matches the Rfam family "Bacterial small subunit ribosomal RNA", at positions 28 to 334 of the family's 1533-position model. The record is from RNAcentral.